RNAcentral lists this ribosomal RNA (457 nucleotides) under uncultured bacterium. RNAcentral's name for it is "SSU rRNA". It matches the Rfam family "Bacterial small subunit ribosomal RNA", at positions 26 to 518 of the family's 1533-position model. The record is from RNAcentral.
AGAAUCAACGCUGGCGGCGUGCCUAACACAUGCAAGUCGAACGAGAAAGGGUAGCAAUACCUGAGUAAAGUGGCGCACGGGUGAGUAACACGUGACUAACCUACCCUGGAGUGGGGGAUAACUGAGGGAAACCUUAGCUAAUACCGCAUAAUACCUACGGGUCAAAGGAGCAAUUCGCUUCAGGAGGGGGUCGCGGCCGAUUAGUUAGUUGGCGGGGUAAUGGCCCACCAAGACGAUGAUCGGUAUCCGGCCUGAGAGGGCGCACGGACACACUGGAACUGAAACACGGUCCAGACUCCUACGGGAGGCAGCAGUGGGAAUUUUGCGCAAUGGGGGAAACCUGGACGCAGCAACGCCGCGUGGAGGAUGAAGUCCUCGGGACGUAAACUCCUUUCGAUCGGGACGAUUAUGACGGUACCGGAAGAAGAAGCCCGGCUAACUUCGCGCCAGCAGCCGC